This 387-nucleotide ribosomal RNA is filed under the name uncultured bacterium. RNAcentral describes it as "bacterial SSU rRNA". It matches the Rfam family "Bacterial small subunit ribosomal RNA", at positions 30 to 419 of the family's 1533-position model. The record is from RNAcentral.
AUUGAACGCUGGCGGCAUGCUUUACACAUGCAAGUCGAACGGUAACAGGUCUUCGGAUGCUGACGAGUGGCGAACGGGUGAGUAAUGUAUCGGAACGUGCCCAGUAGUGGGGGAUAACUACUCGAAAGAGUGGCUAAUACCGCAUGAGAACUGAGGUUGAAAGCGGGGGACCUUCGGGCCUCGCGCUACUGGAGCGGCCGAUAUCAGAUUAGGUAGUUGGUGGGGUGAAGGCCUACCAAGCCGACGAUCUGUAGCUGGUCUGAGAGGACGACCAGCUACACUGGGACUGAGACACGGCCCAGACUCCUACGGGAGGCAGCAGUGGGGAAUUUUGGACAAUGGACGCAAGUCUGAUCCAGCAAUGCCGCGUGCAGGACGAAGGCCUUC